Molecule: ribosomal RNA, 467 nt
Filed under: uncultured bacterium
Lineage: Bacteria
Description: partial 16S ribosomal RNA
Rfam family: Bacterial small subunit ribosomal RNA
Source: RNAcentral
GACGAACGCUGGCGGCGUGCUUAACACAUGCAAGUCGAACGGAAAGGCCCUGCUUUUGUGGGGUGCUCGAGUGGCGAACGGGUGAGUAACACGUGAGUAACCUGCCCUUGACUUUGGGAUAACUUCAGGAAACUGGGGCUAAUACCGGAUAGGAGCUCCUGCUGCAUGGUGGGGGUUGGAAAGUUUCGGCGGUUGGGGAUGGACUCGCGGCUUAUCAGCUUGUUGGUGGGGUAGUGGCUUACCAAGGCUUUGACGGGUAGCCGGCCUGGGAGGGUGACCGGCCCCAUUGUCCCGAGGGUGGCCCCCGUGCGCCCUCGGGGGCCAGGGGGGGGAAUUUUUGCCCAUUGGGCGGAGGCCGGGGGGAACACCCCCGGGUUGGGGAGGCCGGCUUUCGGGUUGGAAACCCCUUUGGCUUUUACCGAGCUGUGAUGGCCGGUAAGGGGUAAAGAGCCCCCGCCAACUUCCUG